This 582-nucleotide ribosomal RNA is filed under the name uncultured bacterium. RNAcentral's name for it is "partial 16S ribosomal RNA". It matches the Rfam family "Bacterial small subunit ribosomal RNA", at positions 355 to 935 of the family's 1533-position model. The record is from RNAcentral.
UGGGGAAUUUUGGACAAUGGGCGAAAGCCUGAUCCAGCAAUGCCGCGUGUGUGAAGAAGGCCUUCGGGUUGUAAAGCACUUUUGUCCGGAAAGAAAUCCUUGGCUCUAAUACAGUCGGGGGAUGACGGUACCGGAAGAAUAAGCACCGGCUAACUACGUGCCAGCAGCCGCGGUAAUACGUAGGGUGCAAGCGUUAAUCGGAAUUACUGGGCGUAAAGCGUGCGCAGGCGGUUUGCUAAGACCGAUGUGAAAUCCCCGGGCUCAACCUGGGAACUGCAUUGGUGACUGGCAGGCUAGAGUAUGGCAGAGGGGGGUAGAAUUCCACGUGUAGCAGUGAAAUGCGUAGAGAUGUGGAGGAAUACCGAUGGCGAAGGCAGCCCCCUGGGCCAAUACUGACGCUCAUGCACGAAAGCGUGGGGAGCAAACAGGAUUAGAUACCCUGGUAGUCCACGCCCUAAACGAUGUCAACUAGUUGUUGGGGAUUCAUUUCCUUAGUAACGUAGCUAACGCGUGAAGUUGACCGCCUGGGGAGUACGGUCGCAAGGUUAAAACUUAAAUGAAUUGACGGGGUCAUAGCUGUUU